GGAAUGCAUCGAGAUUUAAAGCUCCGGCGCCUAAGGAUGGGUCUGCGGCCUAUCAGGUAGUAGUGGGUGUAGCGUACCUACUAGCCUACGACGGGUACGGGUUGUGAGAGCAAGAGCCCGGAGAUGGAUUCUGAGACACGAAUCCAGGCCCUACGGGGUGCAGCAGGCGCGAAAACUUUACAAUGCUGGCAACAGCGAUAAGGGAACCUCGAGUGCCAGGUUACAAAUCUGGCUGUCGAGAUGCCUAAAAAGCAUUUCAUAGCAAGGGCCGGGCAAGACCGGUGCCAGCCGCCGCGGUAACACCGGCGGCUCGAGUGGUAACCGUUAUUAUUGGGUCUAAAGGGUCUGUAGCCGGCCGGAUAAGUCUCUUGAGAAAUCUGGCAGCUUAACUGUCAGGCUUUCAGGAGAUACUGUCUGGCUCGAGGCCGGGAGAGGUGAGAGGUACUUCAGGGGUAGGGGUGAAAUCUUGUAAUCCUUGAAGGACCACCAGUGGCGAAGGCGUCUCACCAGAACGGACCUGACGGCAAGGGACGAAAGCUAGGGGCACGAACCGGAUUAGAUACCCGGGUAGUCCUAGCCGUAAACGAUACUCGCUAGGUGUCGGCCACGGUGCGACCGUUGUCGGUGCCGUAGGGAAGCCGUGAAGCGAGC
This 651-nucleotide ribosomal RNA is filed under the name uncultured archaeon. Its description in RNAcentral is "bacterial SSU rRNA". It matches the Rfam family "Archaeal small subunit ribosomal RNA", at positions 172 to 824 of the family's 1478-position model. The record is from RNAcentral.